Hippocampus comes (tiger tail seahorse) is the source of this 1227-nucleotide long non-coding RNA. RefSeq lists it as uncharacterized. The transcript has 3 exons. The record is from RefSeq and is a predicted model, not a curated record. NCBI's taxonomy places the organism in Eukaryota, Metazoa, Chordata, Actinopteri, Syngnathiformes, Syngnathidae.
AUACUAUUUAUAGUCACGGCGGAAAGAUGGGGGGUGUGCGGAGUGUUUUCUUUUUCCUUGCGUAACAGAAAACAAUGGAGAAGCACUGAUUUAAGUGCAACUUUUGUGUUCGUGUGUUGGAUUGACGCUCGGGCCGACGACUACGUUAGUGUAUUUUAUAAUCUUGGUCUUUAUGGUGGUGGAGCUCAGUAUUUUUUUUUGGAGCUGGUGCCCGAUGUUAAAAGUUGGAGAGUCGUUGCUUUAUCUGCCAACGACGGGAAAAUUUUGAUCCAAAUCAGAAACAGCACUCAUAAAUUAAAAUCAAACUGAAUGAAAGCUGAUUUGUCCGUGUCUUUCCGCCGGGUCCGGCACUUCGAAUGACGGCCUAAAAAAAUGCUGAGUCACACCGGUGCAGGUCUCACGGGACUCUGACGUGUUGCAUUCACUGACUUGAGAAGUGAGCGGUGAACAGUUCCAGUUCCACUUCAUGCUCCUGAUUCUCCGCGAACACCGCGUCGAGGUUCUCCAGGACCGCCACCACGAGCGGCAUGAGCUCCUUCACCACGUCCUCGUCGUAUUUCCCGAUGAGCCUCUCGAACUCGCGGUAAAUGGAGUUAGCCAGGCCCGAUACCCGCUCUGACAUCAUCGCUGAUGUCCCCGGGUCGUCCUGGAUUCCAGAUUCCCAGCCGCUAUGACAGCAUUUAUGCGCUUCUUGGAUGAAAUGACUACACAGAGAACAUUACUGGACCGGACCGGGCCCGUUACGAUGCAGGAGACGACGUGGAUGUCUUCCUCUUUUUUUCCUCUCCCUUCUUCAAUGGUGCCUUCAGGAGCUACUCCACAAACUUGGAUAUUCCAGAAACGACCCGCCAAAUGUUAUACGCCCUUUCGUCACUCGGGAUAAAUCACAUCGUCUGCCUACAAAAUGAUGCGUUAAUCCACAAUUUGUUUAAGUGUUAUUGAUAAGAAAUAUGUUUGAUUCAUAUUGCAUUAUGUAGCAUGUUGAGAAUGGAGCAUUUUACGUGUCCGCCGAUUUUGAGCUCUGUAUCCGAACACACGGGGAUUCAUAAACACAAAAGCGUCGCUAUUUUUGUCGAUAUCGGUUUUACGUCGUGCACUUGAAAUUCACUUCGUCAAUACAUUUCCCAGAUGUCAUUGAAUGCACCAUUACAACAGCUGAGUUGUUGACGAGAUCACGCCAUGACGUCACGCGAAUACAGUCAUAAAUUUGUGUUGGUUUGUUUUGCA